UACAAUAACUUUUUUACAGCAUUUAUUAAUUUUUUAAGACUUACUAUACAAAUACCUUUAUGACAUACUAUAUUAUAACUUUGUUGACAAACUAUGUUGUACUCAACUGUCUAAUCUGAUCUCGAGAGCAAGUAAUGGAUUAACUCAAAUGCAGAAAGCAUAGGAGGCUGCAGAAACUAUGCAAUCAUUUGAUAAAUGCUUCCAAACUUAAAUCAAAUGGAAAAGGCAACACUGAAUGAAGACAAACCAAUAAAGAAUAAAGUAACUGGGCUGGUAUGAAAAAGAAACGAGUAACAGGUAAGUGGGAACAGGUGAGCAGGAGCACAGGCGACCACAGGGAUAACGGGAAAAAGGUCUUUGCUUUCAGAAAAUGUAGUUACAGGCUGAUUAGUGGAUGAUUAGACUCAGGUGUGCAGGGCUGCUUUGAUGAGGCUGAUUGUCUGAAUAUAAAGUCAGACAUGUUCACUACUCAGAGUAUUGUGCUGCUUAGUGGGUCAGGCAGGAAGACAGUUUACAGUCUGAACCAGUUUGCUGUUCUUCAGUGCUAUGAAGACCUCGUGUUUUUUGGUUCUCCUCCUGGUUGGACUGUGUUUCAGGUCAUAUUCUGCUUUUCCUCCCAAAGGUUACACUCAACAUGCUUCAAUUCAAAGUCCUCAGUUCACAAGGAGCUCCCAACACGCUCUGCAAGCAAAGGAUCCAUCUGAGGAACCAGAGCAGGUGAAUACUGUCCGAGUGACCUGCCAUCCAGACUCAUUGGAGAUUAUUAUCCAAGCUGACAUGUUUGAAGUUGGAGCUCCUGUCAAUGGUGAUGAAUUACGCCUUGGAGUGGAGCUCAAUGACUACUGUAGAGCUACAAUAUUUUCAGGAGAUGAGUACAGAAUCCUUGUUGGACUGGUGGACUGCGGCACCAAACAAAAGAUGACUGAAGACACACUGGUCUACACAAACGUGCUCGUAUACUCUCCUGUGGCCUCUCCAGAUGGGGUGGUUCGAAUGGAUGAGGCUGUAAUUCCAAUUGAAUGUCAUUACGAAAGGAAGUACAGUUUGUCCAGUUCUUCCCUCAUGCCCACCUGGAUCCCCUUCAUGUCUAAACAAGCUGCAGAGGAAAUUUUGGAGUUUGACUUGAGCAUUAUGACUAAUGACUGGCUUCAUCGAAGAGGCUCUAAUGUGUUUUACCUCGGCGAUCCCAUCGGCAUCGAAGCCUCAGUCCGAGUUGGACAUCACAUGGGGCUCCGAGUGUUUGUGAGCAGCUGUGUGGCGACACUUUCCCCAGAUGUAUCCUCUGAGCCGAGAUACGUCUUUGUUGAAAAUGGGUGCUUGGUUGACUCUGAGCUUCCAGGUUCUAGGUCACACUUCUUAUCCAGGACACAGGAUGACAAGCUCCACUUGACCAUUGAUGCCUUUAAGUUUCAUAAUGAGGACAGAGAAGAACUCUACAUCACAUGUCACCUGAAUGCUGAACCAGUAAAUGAUGCAGAGGCACCAAAUAAGGCGUGCAGUCUUAUAAAUGGAAGAUGGAGGUCAGCUGAUGGUAAUGACUUUUUAUGUGGCUCUUGUCAAAGUCACAAUAAGCCGAGCAGCCCUGGCAAGUUUGGUCCUCGUAGGUUUGAGAAGCCAGAAGAACCUGAACCGUUUUGGAGUGGACAGAGAACCAAUACAGUGUGGGAAAAGGCGGCACGAGUGGGUCCGAUGAUUGUCUUGCCAGCCAAGCAGACCAGUGGGCCAGUACCUGUGAAGGAGCUUCCUCGUCUGAAUAAAUUCAGCAGACCUUCACUGUUUGGCAGCCAGUGAAUUGGAAUAAAUGACAAAGUUGGUGAGUUGAAGUUGCAUGAUGAAUUUUUUGGCCCAUAUGUUGACUGUUCAAGACCAUUAUUUUUUUGUGCUCAAAGUAAACUGGUCUCUAUUCUAGUUGAGAAGAAACUUCUUCUUGGUUCAUAAUCCACACCAGACAAAGUGGUUGUUCAGGUGGGAUGGUGUGAAGGUCUCUGCCCUUCUAGAAAAGGAAUCUCCCGAGGUGGACGUGGAAUUAAAGGGAGAACCGCUGGAUGAAAACCCCAUGUCAACCCUCGACUGUCCAGUUUACUGUGGAUCUGACUAAUGUUAACUGCAACAGAAAAUGACUAAUCUACUUCUUUUAAAUGUAUAGUUUGCUGUUGAUGCAGUUAUCCUGCAAUGCACAAAUAAAAAUGGACUGUA
This is an RNA transcript of Pseudoliparis swirei, 2196 nucleotides long. It is a transcript of the gene named zona pellucida sperm-binding protein 3-like, with no coding region annotated. The transcript is spliced from 9 exons. Lineage: Eukaryota; Metazoa; Chordata; Actinopteri; Perciformes; Liparidae. The record is from RefSeq and is a predicted model, not a curated record.